GACAGUUGAAUGGCCAGCAUGUGAACUGGAAUAAUGAAGUGAGUGGUGUUAACAUUCAGCAUUUUGGAUGAAUGUUCAUUACUGAAAUGUUAGUCAAAAUGUCCUUAAACAUAAAGAGGGGCGUUCUUAAAAACAUUUAUCUCUAUCCUUGAAACUCUUAAACUGCUUAAACCAGAGGGAUCAGAUCACUGGGAAUCAGGAUCCCUGAUGGGAAACGAGAUUUCCCAUUCGACAAAUGUAGGAAAGCAUUUGUCAAGCUGUCCGUAACUUACAGUGAACAAUGGCAUG
RNAcentral lists this long non-coding RNA (288 nucleotides) under Bos taurus (domestic cattle). RNAcentral's name for it is "long non-coding RNA NONBTAT010869". The record is from RNAcentral. Lineage: Eukaryota; Metazoa; Chordata; Mammalia; Artiodactyla; Bovidae.